Molecule: ribosomal RNA, 468 nt
Filed under: uncultured bacterium
Lineage: Bacteria
Description: partial 16S ribosomal RNA
Rfam family: Bacterial small subunit ribosomal RNA
Source: RNAcentral
GACGAACGCUGGCGGCGUGCUUAACACAUGCGAGUCGAACGGAAAGGCCCUGCUUUUGUGGGGUGCUCGAGUGGCGAACGGGUGAGUAACACGUGAGUAACCUGCCCUUGACUUUGGGAUAACUUCAGGAAACUGGGGCUAAUACCGGAUAGGAGCUCCUGCUGCAUGGUGGGGGUUGGAAAGUUUCGGCGGUUGGGGAUGGACUCGCGGCUUAUCAGCUUGUUGGUGGGGUAGUGGCUUACCAAGGCUUUGACGGGUAGCCGGCCCGAGAGGGUGACCGGCCACAUUGGGACUGAGAUACGGCCCAGACUCCUACGGGAGGCAGCAGUGGGGAAUAUUGCACAAUGGGCGGAAGCCUGAUGCAGCAACGCCGCGUGCGGGAUGACGGCCUUCGGGUUGUAAACCGCUUUCGCCUGCGACGAAGCGUGAGUGACGAUAAUGGGUAAAGAAGCACCGGCUAACUACGUG